RNAcentral lists this ribosomal RNA (210 nucleotides) under uncultured bacterium. Its description in RNAcentral is "partial 16S ribosomal RNA". It matches the Rfam family "Bacterial small subunit ribosomal RNA", at positions 524 to 734 of the family's 1533-position model. The record is from RNAcentral.
UACAGAGGGUGCAAGCGUUAAUCGGAAUUACUGGCGUAAAGCGCGCGUAGGUGGUUUGUUAAGUUGGAUGUGAAAUCCCCGGGCUCAACCUGGGAACUGCAUCCAAAACUGGCAAGCUAGAGUAUGGUAGAGGGUGGUGGAAUUUCCUGUGGUAGCGGUGAAAUGCGUAGAUAUAGGAAGGACACCAGUGGCGAAGGCGACCACCUGGAC